UGCUACGCUGCAGGAUCUCAUUUGCCUCU
RNAcentral lists this non-coding RNA (29 nucleotides) under Homo sapiens (human). The record is from RNAcentral. Lineage: Eukaryota; Metazoa; Chordata; Mammalia; Primates; Hominidae.